GGCUCAGUAGCUUAGUUGGUAAAGCGCUCUUCUAGCAUACAAGAGUCCUGGGUUCGAAUCCUAGCCGUGCAC
This is a non-coding RNA of Aedes aegypti (yellow fever mosquito), 72 nucleotides long. NCBI's taxonomy places the organism in Eukaryota, Metazoa, Arthropoda, Insecta, Diptera, Culicidae. The record is from Rfam.